This 795-nucleotide ribosomal RNA is filed under the name uncultured bacterium. Its description in RNAcentral is "bacterial SSU rRNA". It matches the Rfam family "Bacterial small subunit ribosomal RNA", at positions 599 to 1396 of the family's 1533-position model. The record is from RNAcentral.
AGUUUGGCGCUUAACUUCAAAAUUGCCAUUGAAACUGGGAGACUUGAUUACGGUAGAGGUAAGCGGGAAUGCGUGGUGUAGCGGUGAAACGCAUAGAUAUCACGCAGAACCCCGAUUGCGAAGGCAGCUUACUGGACCGUUAUUGACGCUGAGGCAUGAAAGCGUGGGGAUCAAACAGGAUUAGAUACCCUGGUAGUCCACGCCGUAAACUAUGAAUGCUAGCUAUUGGCGAUACACAGUCAGUGGCACAGAGAAAUCGUUAAGCAUUCCACCUGGGGAGUACGCCGGCAACGGUGAAACUCAAAGGAAUUGACGGGGGCCCGCACAAGCGGAGGAACAUGUGGUUUAAUUCGAUGAUACGCGAGGAACCUUACCCGGGUUUGAACGCAGGGGGAAUACGGUUGAAAGAUCGUCGCUAGCAAUAGCCGCCUGCGAGGUGCUGCAUGGUUGUCGUCAGCUCGUGCCGUGAGGUGUCGGCUUAAGUGCCAUAACGAGCGCAACCCUUAUUGAUAGUUACUAACAGGCAAUGCUGAGGACUCUAUCGAGACUGCCAGCGUAAGCUGUGAGGAAGGUGGGGAUGACGUCAAAUCAGCACGGCCCUUACAUCCGGGGCGACACACGUGUUACAAUGGUGGGUACAGAGGGUCGCUACCUGGUGACAGGAUGCUAAUCUCCAAAACCCAUCUCAGUUCGGAUCGAAGUCUGCAACUCGACUUCGUGAAGCUGGAUUCGCUAGUAAUCGCGCAUCAGCCAUGGCGCGGUGAAUACGUUCCCGGGCCUUGUACACACCGCCCG